CGGGCCUCUCGCGUCAGGAUAUGCCUAGGUGGGAUUAGCUAGUUGGUGAGGUAAGGGCUCACCAAGGCGACGAUCCCUAGCUGGUCUGAGAGGAUGAUCAGCCACACUGGAACUGAGACACGGUCCAGACUCCUACGGGAGGCAGCAGUGGGGAAUAUUGCACAAUGGGCGCAAGCCUGAUGCAGCCAUGCCGCGUGUAUGAAGAAGGCCUUCGGGUUGUAAAGUACUUUCAGUCGUGAGGAAGGUAGUGUAGUUAAUAGCUGCAUUAUUUGACGUUAGCGACAGAAGAAGCACCGGCUAACUCCGUGCCAGCAGCCGCGGUAAUACGGAGGGUGCGAGCGUUAAUCGGAAUUACUGGGCGUAAAGCGCAUGCAGGUGGUUUGUUAAGUCAGAUGUGAAAGCCCGGGGCUCAACCUCGGAAUAGCAUUUGAAACUGGCAGACUAGAGUACUGUAGAGGGGGGUAGAAUUUCAGGUGUAGCGGUGAAAUGCGUAGAGAUCUGAAGGAAUACCGGUGGCGAAGGCGGCCCCCUGGACAGAUACUGACACUCAGAUGCGAAAGCGUGGGGAGCAAACAGGAUUAGAUACCCUGGUAGUCCACGCCGUAAACGAUGUCUACUUGGAGGUUGUGGCCUUGAGCCGUGGCUUUCGGAGCUAACGCGUUAAGUAGACCGCCUGGGGAGUACGGUCGCAAGAUUAAAACUCAAAUGAAUUGACGGGGGCCCGCACAAGCGGUGGAGCAUGUGGUUUAAUUCGAUGCAACGCGAAGAACCUUACCUACUCUUGACAUCCAGAGAACUUUCCAGAGAUGGAUUGGUGCCUUCGGGAACUCUGAGACAGGUGCUGCAUGGCUGUCGUCAGCUCGUGUUGUGAAAUGUUGGGUUAAGUCCCGCAACGAGCGCAACCCUUAUCCUUGUUUGCCAGCGAGUAAUGUCGGGAACUCCAGGGAGACUGCCGGUGAUAAACCGGAGGAAGGUGGGGACGACGUCAAGUCAUCAUGGCCCUUACGAGUAGGGCUACACACGUGCUACAAUGGCGCAUACAGAGGGCGGCCAACUUGCGAAAGUGAGCGAAUCCCAAAAAGUGCGUCGUAGUCCGGAUUGGAGUCUGCAACUCGACUCCAUGAAGUCGGAAUCGCUAGUAAUCGUGGAUCAGAAUGCCACGGUGAAUACGUUCCCGGGCCUUGUACACACCGCCCGUCACACCAUGGGAGUGGGCUGCAAAAGAAGUAGGUAGUUUAACCUUCGGGGGGGACGCUUACCACUUUGUGGUUCAUGACUGGGGUGAAUCU
RNAcentral lists this ribosomal RNA (1289 nucleotides) under Vibrio sp. RNAcentral describes it as "bacterial SSU rRNA". It matches the Rfam family "Bacterial small subunit ribosomal RNA", at positions 207 to 1487 of the family's 1533-position model. Lineage: Bacteria; Pseudomonadati; Pseudomonadota; Gammaproteobacteria; Vibrionales; Vibrionaceae. The record is from RNAcentral.